CAGCCGCCGCGGUAAUACGUAGGGUGCAAGCGUUAAUUGGAAUUACUGGGCGUAAAGCGUGCGCAGGCGGUUUGUUAAGACAGAUGUGAAAUCCCCGGGCUCAACCUGGGAACUGCAUUUGAAACUGGCAAGCUAGAGUCUUGUAGAGGGGGGUAGAAUUCCAGGUGUAGCGGUGAAAUGCGUAGAGAUCUGGAGGAAUACCGGUGGCGAAGGCGGCCCCCUGGACAAAGACUGACGCUCAGGUGCGAAAGCGUGGGGAGCAAACAGGAUUAGAUACCCCAGUAGUCCCUGUCUCUUAUAC
Molecule: ribosomal RNA, 301 nt
Filed under: uncultured bacterium
Lineage: Bacteria
Description: partial 16S ribosomal RNA
Rfam family: Bacterial small subunit ribosomal RNA
Source: RNAcentral